RNAcentral lists this ribosomal RNA (253 nucleotides) under uncultured bacterium. RNAcentral describes it as "partial 16S ribosomal RNA". It matches the Rfam family "Bacterial small subunit ribosomal RNA", at positions 524 to 776 of the family's 1533-position model. The record is from RNAcentral.
UACAGAGGUGGCAAGCGUUGUUCGGAAUUACUGGGCGUAAAGGGCGCGUAGGCGGCCUACUAAGUCAGACGUGAAAUCCCCCGGCUUAACCUGGGAACUGCGUCUGAUACUGGAAGGCUUGAGGAUGGGAGAGGGAUGUAGAAUUCCAGGUGUAGCGGUGAAAUGCGUAGAUAUCUGGAGGAAUACCGGUGGCGAAGGCGGCAUCCUGGACCAACACUGACACUGAGGAGCGAAAGCCAGGGGAGCAAACGGG